AGUGAGCGGCAAAGCUCAAAUUUGAAUCUGGUACCUUCGGUGCUCGAGUUGUAAUUUGGAGAGGGCAACUUUGGGGCCGUUCCUUGUCUAUGUUCCUUGGAACAGGACGUCAUAGAGGGUGAGAAUCCCGUGUGACGAGGAGUGCGGUUCUUUGUAAAGUGCCUUCGAAGAGUCGAGUUGUUUGGGAA
RNAcentral lists this ribosomal RNA (188 nucleotides) under uncultured Saccharomyces. RNAcentral's name for it is "partial 26S ribosomal RNA". It matches the Rfam family "Eukaryotic large subunit ribosomal RNA", at positions 104 to 280 of the family's 3401-position model. The record is from RNAcentral. Lineage: Eukaryota; Fungi; Ascomycota; Saccharomycetes; Saccharomycetales; Saccharomycetaceae.